CUAAACCAUGCACCGAAGCUGCGGCAGCGACACUGUGUGUUGUUGGGUAGGGGAGCGUUCUGUAAGCCUGUGAAGGUGUGUCGUGAGGCAUGCUGGAGGUAUCAGAAGUGCGAAUGCUGACAUAAGUAACGAUAAAGCGGGUGAAAAGCCCGCUCGCCGGAAGACCAAGGGUUCCUGUCCAACGUUAAUCGGGGCAGGGUGAGUCGACCCCUAAGGCGAGGCCGAAAGGCGUAGUCGAUGGGAAACGGGUUAAUAUUCCCGUACUUGGUGUUACUGCGAAGGGGGGACGGAGAAGGCUAUGUUGGCCGGGCGACGGUUGUCCCGGUUUAAGCGUGUAGGUGUGUGUUCCAGGUAAAUCCGGUUCACUUUAACACUGAGGCGUGACGACGAGGCACUACGGUGCUGAAGCAACAAAUGCCCUGCUUCCAGGAAAAGCCUCUAAGCAUCAGGUAACAUCAAAUCGUACCCCAAACCGACACAGGUGGUCAGGUAGAGAAUACCAAGGCGCUUGAGAGAACUCGGGUGAAGGAACUAGGCAAAAUGGUGCCGUAACUUCGGGAGAAGGCACGCUGACACGUAGGUGAAGUGAUUUACUCAUGGAGCUGAAGUCAGUCGAAGAUACCAGCUGGCUGCAACUGUUUAUUAAAAACACAGCACUGUGCAAACACGAAAGUGGACGUAUACGGUGUGACGCCUGCCCGGUGCCGGAAGGUUAAUUGAUGGGGUCAGCGCAAGCGAAGCUCCUGAUCGAAGCCCCGGUAAACGGCGGCCGUAACUAUAACGGUCCUAAGGUAGCGAAAUUCCUUGUCGGGUAAGUUCCGACCUGCACGAAUGGCGUAAUGAUGGCCAGGCUGUCUCCACCCGAGACUCAGUGAAAUUGAACUCGCUGUGAAGAUGCAGUGUACCCGCGGCAAGACGGAAAGACCCCGUGAACCUUUACUAUAGCUUGACACUGAACAUUGAGCCUUGAUGUGUAGGAUAGGUGGGAGGCUUUGAAGUGUGGACGCCAGUCUGCAUGGAGCCGACCUUGAAAUACCACCCUUUAAUGUUUGAUGUUCUAACGUGGACCCGUUACCCGGGUUGCGGACAGUGUCUGGUGGGUAGUUUGACUGGGGCGGUCUCCUCCUAAAGAGUAACGGAGGAGCACGAAGGUUGGCUAAUCCUGGUCGGACAUCAGGAGGUUAGUGCAAUGGCAUAAGCCAGCUUGACUGCGAGCGUGACGGCGCGAGCAGGUGCGAAAGCAGGUCAUAGUGAUCCGGUGGUUCUGAAUGGAAGGGCCAUCGCUCAACGGAUAAAAGGUACUCCGGGGAUAACAGGCUGAUACCGCCCAAGAGUUCAUAUCGACGGCGGUGUUUGGCACCUCGAUGUCGGCUCAUCACAUCCUGGGGCUGAAGUAGGUCCCAAGGGUAUGGCUGUUCGCCAUUUAAAGUGGUACGCGAGCUGGGUUUAGAACGUCGUG
RNAcentral lists this ribosomal RNA (1459 nucleotides) under Salmonella enterica. Its description in RNAcentral is "partial 23S ribosomal RNA". It matches the Rfam family "Bacterial large subunit ribosomal RNA", at positions 1181 to 2623 of the family's 2925-position model. The record is from RNAcentral. Lineage: Bacteria; Pseudomonadati; Pseudomonadota; Gammaproteobacteria; Enterobacterales; Enterobacteriaceae.